AAAAACAUUGCCAUUUUUAUUUUUAUUUUUUAAAACUGCAAAAAGUGAAAAACAGGGAACACCGCUUUUAAUCACAAAAACAUCCAUUUAUUACUGAUGCAAAAUGUUGCACAAUGAAACACAUGAGAUGGCCCUUACAAUGGACCAUUACGUUUCGGGCAAAACGUAUGGCUUUCAUGCAAACAAAAUGGAAACACAGAAAUACUAUUCUUCUG
RNAcentral lists this long non-coding RNA (215 nucleotides) under Lathyrus oleraceus (garden pea). RNAcentral describes it as "Pisum sativum (pea) long non-coding RNA (PSAT_LNC002765)". Lineage: Eukaryota; Viridiplantae; Streptophyta; Magnoliopsida; Fabales; Fabaceae. The record is from RNAcentral.